GCUCCGCUGCCCUCGGCGACGUCUCCCCUCAACUUUGCCAUUUUUGGCCGAUUUUGGCUGGUUUAGGCCGAUUUUGCAUGAAAACCUGCAAAAAAAUGGGUUAGGCAACCUCUGUCGGCUGGAAAAGGAAAAAACAAAGGCCUUACCAACAAAGGGAUUUUUUGGUGCAGCAGCUCCAUUGUUCCUCUCUUGCGAUUGGGGCUUCUCUUUGGCUAACCUACACUAGAAAGAGAUGAAGAACACAAAGGUCAAAGAAUCGAAUGAAAUGGGAAAUGGCAAACAGCCCAUCGAAGCAAUUUUGGGUCACGAUCGCGGCAGCUCAACCGAGCUCCGCUCGUGUUUUUCGGCUUACCCUCUAGCCUUUUGGCUCUGAUAUAGGCGUGGGUGGGUUUAGAAUCAAAUUUUGAAUGAGAAGGGGGAAAAAAUACCUUUCCAGCGUUGGCGGUGGCUCCGGUGCAGCGGCGACGGCGACCGGUCUUCUUAUCCGAUGACUGGUUCACUUUCGGCCGCCCCUCUUCUUCUUCUUCUUUGAUCUUUUCUUAACUGCUAGGGUUAAGGUUUCUUGUGGAAGAGGAGUUUAAAUACCCCUCUCCAUUAAAUCCUGGUCGUUCGUUCAAGGAGACACGGCUCCUCUUUAGCCGUUGGAUUAAUUUUAUAUGAGAAACAAAUCUGCACCGCAUAAUUAGAUGAAAUCAAGACCGUUCGAUCGUACUAAAGAAAAAAUGAAUUUGGGUCAUCCGUGCGCGCAGGAGGAGAUCUGGACUAGUAUAGCUCAUUCUCCUUAUUUAACCAUUUCAUAUCAGGAAGACCAAGAUCU
RNAcentral lists this long non-coding RNA (817 nucleotides) under Carica papaya (papaya). RNAcentral describes it as "long non-coding RNA (CPAP_LNC014950)". The record is from RNAcentral. Lineage: Eukaryota; Viridiplantae; Streptophyta; Magnoliopsida; Brassicales; Caricaceae.